UGGGGGAUAUUGCACAAUGGGCGAAAGCCUGAUGCAGCGACGCCGCGUGGGGGAUGAAGGCCUUCGGGUUGUAAACUUCUUUUGCUCUGAACAAGGCAUGCUAAUGGGUGUGUUGAGUGUAGGGGUUGAUUAGCGCCGGCUAACUACGUGCCAGCAGCCGCGGUAAUACGUAGGGCGCGAGCGUUGUCCGGAAUUAUUGGGCGUAAAGGGCUUGUAGGUGGCUGGUUGCGUCUGUCGUGAAAGCUCAUGGCUUAACUGUGGGUUUGCGGUGGGUACGGGCUGGCUUGGGUGCAGUAAGGGAGGCUGGAAUUCCUGGUGUAGCGGUGGAAUGCGCAAAUGUCAGGAGGAAUACCGGUGGCGAAGGCGGGUCUCUGGGCUGUUACUGACACUGAGGAGCGAAAGCAUGGGGGGCGAACAGG
RNAcentral lists this ribosomal RNA (419 nucleotides) under bacterium. RNAcentral describes it as "partial 16S ribosomal RNA". It matches the Rfam family "Bacterial small subunit ribosomal RNA", at positions 355 to 776 of the family's 1533-position model. The record is from RNAcentral.